UGGGGAAUUUUGCACAAUGGGGGAAACCCUGCUGCAGCGACGCCGCGUGAUUUAUAAGGCCUUUGGGUUGUAAAAAUCUUUUCUAUGGGAAGAAAAUGACAGUACCAUAGGAAUAAGGACCGGCUAAUUACGUGCCAGCAGCCGCGGUCAUACGUAAGGUCCGAGCGUUGUCUGGAAUCAUUGGGCGUAAAGGGUACGUAGGCGGGUAAGCAAGUCAGAAGUGAAAUCCUGUAGAUCAACUACAGUAAGCUUUUAAAACUGCUCAUCUUGAGAUAUGAGAGGGAAAGUGGAAUUCCGGGUGUAGCGGUGAAAUGCGAAGAUAUGAGGAGGAAUGCCGGUGGCGAAGGCGACUUUCUGGCCAUAAUCUGACGCUGAGGUACGAAGGCGUGGGUAGCAAACAGG
RNAcentral lists this ribosomal RNA (402 nucleotides) under Bacteroidota bacterium. Its description in RNAcentral is "Bacteroidetes bacterium partial 16S ribosomal RNA". It matches the Rfam family "Bacterial small subunit ribosomal RNA", at positions 355 to 776 of the family's 1533-position model. Lineage: Bacteria; Pseudomonadati; Bacteroidota. The record is from RNAcentral.